GAACAAAUGUCAUUUUGAUCUGAACAAGUGCCAUUUUUAUUUGAAGCCAGUGCCAUUUCGCGGGAUUAAACAAAAGGAGAAAAAAACCGACACACAGAUAUGCUCUGAACAAGUGCCAUUUCGCUCUGAGCAAGUGCCAUUUUUGUUUGAAACUAGUGCCAUUUCGCUCUGAAAACACAGAGACGCUACCACUCCUUAUAAAUUGAAUUUUCUAUCAUCUUCCCCUUUUCCAUUCUCUCUCUCUCUCUCUCUCUCUCUCUUCCAGACAGUUUCUAACUCUCAUUUUCAUUCUCAGCAGACUCUCUCCCUCUCUCACGCCCUUUGUUUCCCUUGUGAUCUCUGGGUGUUGCGAAUUUGGAAAGCUUGAUUGCGGUUUUGUCUUCCAAUCCACACGCUGAUCUCGGUGAUUUUGGGUGCUUUGUUAGUAAGUUGAGGGAACAGGUGGCCGUUGAAGCCAUCAUCGGAGACAUCAUCAUACGAAGAUUUAAAUUUCUCUCUAUUUUUCACUGCUGUGAUUUUCUUUUGGAGAAUUGGGUAGUGUCAUCUUCAAGUUCACGUUGGGAAUUAAUUCCACAUUUGAGCAACAUUGUGUCAUCGUCUGUUUUCGAGACUCAUGGCAUGAAACUAGCGAUUGUUACAUUUGCGAUUCGGAGUUAUAUAGAUGUCCGAAGGCUUUGGGUGGUUGCUUUGAGAUAGGGGCUGCUGUGAUGGGUUUGAGAUUUCCUGGUCCUCAGAAGAUCAUUGUUAGCAGGAAGUGGUAUGUAAUGUGGCCAUAUUCAUCAUCUAUUUUGAACUUCCAUUAUUAAACUGCUCUUAUAGGUCCACUAGAUUUUAUUUUUCCUCUCGAAGAAUUGGGUUUGAAUACUGAGGUUAAAAAUAAUGCGUUUUAUAGGAUUGCUUUUUAUUUUAGGUAACUCCUUUUUAUUGCAAUAGUUUUGUUCUUAGGUGCUGUUAAUUUGUUAUAUCUUUAUGUCAUGUCUUCUUUAAGUCUGACUUUUGCUAAUGUAAUGUUUUUGUUCAUAUAGAUUGCCAUAUUUUAUUAGAUGGCUUAAUGAACACCCACUCUCUCCAACAUAGGGUAUACUGAGUUAGACCUUAUUCUUUAUAUGUUGCAAUGUUAUGGGGUUUCACCAAAUUCAACAGGACCGAUUACGUGAGGUUCAAAAAGGAGAAUUUGAUUGUACCAGAUGACGUCAAUGCAAAGCCAGGAACCUCGUGGACAUGCAUGGAAGCUAUGGAAGUACGUGUAUGUGCAAAUCUUGUACGUGCGUCGAUCAAUCAAUGGGUUUAGAAGUGAAAAUCUUGAUCAUAAAGGUGAAGUAAUUCCUUCAAUCAUUCACGAGGAGUCACAUUCCAUGUGUAACAACAUCACUGAUCACGUUAAUGUUGCAAACUUGCGGCUGAAUGCCUCUUAACAUUGUUGUAUUUUUAGUUGUGGCGCUGUCUUUUUAGUGGAGAGAAUCCAGAUCUCAUGAUGUUGAGUUGAAAGAUUUCCGUUCAUAGUACUGGACAACUUAGAUCAGCAUCAUCAGUAUAGGGAAAAGAUGAAAAUUGUUCGUAUUGUGAUAAAUUGUGCAUGUAUUUUGAUCAUAACUUUGGUUACAUGUAUUAUAAUCAUGCAUGUAAAACCUAUUUUGGAAAGUUCUUUUCGGCGCGCACAAUAUGGUU
Molecule: long non-coding RNA, 1668 nt
Organism: Carya illinoinensis
Lineage: Eukaryota; Viridiplantae; Streptophyta; Magnoliopsida; Fagales; Juglandaceae
Exons: 6
Source: RefSeq, a predicted model, not a curated record